UGUCGGUUCACCGAAUCCGGAGGGUAGGGUUCUUUAGGAUCCUUACCAACGGUGAUGGUUUCUUACCUCCUAAUUUAAUUUCGUUUCUUUGUGCCUUAUGUAGCUUUUGAUCUUCAUAGUCAAGCCCUUGAAACUAAAGACAGAGAUUGCAAGAUUACAAAGGUUCUCAACUUACCAGACUCAGAACGAAACUUCCAGGUAGAUCCUAUUCUUCAAGAAGCCAGCCUUUACUCUCAAGCCUCAGAAUCCAUCAUGUCUUCGGGUUCAGGAUCCCAGCCUACCGGUCGCUUUAGUCUCGAUCACUUACUCAAACUUGCUCAAGAAAACCUCCGGUAAAACAAGAAAAUCCUACUCCUUCAAUCAUCAAGUCUAGGAUUCUUCCCCUGUGCUCCAAAGCUACCUCAAGCAAAAAAACGCAAGGCUCCUGAGGUGAUGGAUCUUGAAGCUUUCGACAACCUGGGCUUGGUAGAAAUAACAAAAAAGCUUCAAACCGUCCAAAGUGUGGGUUUUCCAAGAUCCCUGCCAAUCAUGACGAGCAGUUGGUCGAGCAUGCCUAGAAGAUCAUUGACAUGGAGCUGCUUGCUGAGAACAGGGCAGAGCAAUCCGAGACCCUCCGCCUCGAACUGGAAUCUUCUAGAAAGGAAUGCUAGGAUCUUAAAGCAUAUCACCAGGAGCAGCAUAGGGAGCUUGAAGCUGAAGCAAAGAAAUCUGUUACCCUUAAUAUCUUUAGUCUAGGAUUCCAAUGUACGAGGAAGCUAAGGCCGAACGAUUCUAGGUGAAGGCUUGGGACAAAAAUAAGUGGAAGGCAGUGGUUGCAAGGCUAGGAGGUCAAGACGAGGUUCCUAAAUAGGAAGCCGAUAAGGUCAAGGAGGUUGAGGUGGAGAAGGCUGAUGAGGAUCCAAGGAGCAAGGUUCUAAGUGGAAAUAGAAAGAAGGAGUAAUCAACAAUGGGGCGAUGAUGGAUAUUCUUGCCUAGGCCGGAGCCCUAUUUUUUAAAGGUUUGUGGUAGCGAUGAUGUGGUUAUGUAACCCCCUUAAACAAUUUACCUUUCCUUGUUUCUUUUGCAUGCUCCCCGGAAUGGGGUUUUAGACAAUGUUACUUGAUAAUCCUGGAUGGAUGGACCCCGGUUUUGGGGGAAACUCAGGAUCGUCCUAGGUUGGUUUUUGACAAUGGUGGUGUAAGUGGAUGGGUUCUAGUUUAGGAUGAAGCUUGGCCCGCCUCUUUUAACUUCUUGCUAUGGUAAAUAAUAUCCAGUUUUAUAUCC
This is a long non-coding RNA of Helianthus annuus (common sunflower), 1263 nucleotides long. RefSeq lists it as uncharacterized. The transcript has 3 exons. The record is from RefSeq and is a predicted model, not a curated record. Lineage: Eukaryota; Viridiplantae; Streptophyta; Magnoliopsida; Asterales; Asteraceae.